AGAGGACCGGAGUGGACGCAUCACUGGUGUUCGGGUUGUCAUGCCAAUGGCACUGCCCGGUAGCUAAAUGCGGAAGAGAUAAGUGCUGAAAGCAUCUAAGCACGAAACUUGCCCCGAGAUGAGUUCUCCCUGACCCUUUAAGGGUCCUGAAGGAACGUUGAAGACGACGACGUUGAUAGGCCGGGUGUGUAAGCGCAGCGAUGCGUUGAGCUAACCGGUACUAAUGAACCGUGAGGCUUAACCUUACAACGCCGAAGCUGUU
This 262-nucleotide ribosomal RNA is filed under the name Escherichia coli. Its description in RNAcentral is "partial 23S ribosomal RNA". It matches the Rfam family "Bacterial large subunit ribosomal RNA", at positions 2686 to 2925 of the family's 2925-position model. The record is from RNAcentral. Lineage: Bacteria; Pseudomonadati; Pseudomonadota; Gammaproteobacteria; Enterobacterales; Enterobacteriaceae.